UUCCAGACUCCUACGGGAGGCAGCAGUGGGGAAUAUUGCACAAUGGGGGAAACCCUGGUGCAGCGACGCCGCGUGAGUGAAGAAGUAUUUCGGUAUGUAAAGCUCUAUCAGCAGGGAAGAUAAUGACGGUACCUGACUAAGAAGCCCCGGCUAACUACGUGCCAGCAGCCGCGGUAAUACGUAGGGAGCGAGCGUUGUCCGGAUUUACUGGGUGUAAAGGGCGUGUAGGCGGAGCGGCAAGUCAGAAGUGAAAUCUCCGGGCUCAACCCGGAAACUGCUUUUGAAACUGUAGCCCUUGAGUAUCGGAGAGGCAGGCGGAAUUCCUAGUGUAGCGGUGAAAUGCG
This 344-nucleotide ribosomal RNA is filed under the name uncultured bacterium. RNAcentral's name for it is "bacterial SSU rRNA". It matches the Rfam family "Bacterial small subunit ribosomal RNA", at positions 329 to 690 of the family's 1533-position model. The record is from RNAcentral.